ACCUGACUGGCUCAGCAGGUAGAGCGUGGGACUCUUAAUAUCAGGGUCAUGAGUUCAAGCCUUAUGUUGGGCA
This is a non-coding RNA of Canis lupus familiaris (dog), 73 nucleotides long. Lineage: Eukaryota; Metazoa; Chordata; Mammalia; Carnivora; Canidae. The record is from Rfam.